CCUACGGGUGGCAGCAGUGGGGAAUAUUGCGCAAUGGGCGAAAGCCUGACGCAGCGACGCCGCGUGAGGGAUGAAGGUCUUCGGAUCGUAAACCUCUGUCAGCAGGGAAGAACGGUCACUGUGCUAAUCAGCAGUGAAUUGACGGUACCUGCAAAGGAAGCACCGGCUAACUCCGUGCCAGCAGCCGCGGUAAUACGGAGGGUGCGAGCGUUAAUCGGAAUUACUGGGCGUAAAGCGCUCGUAGGCGGUACGUCAAGUCAAGGGUGAAAUCCCCGCGCUCAACGUGGGAACUGCCUUUGAAACUGGCAAACUGGAGUGUGUGAGAGGAUAGUGGAAUUCCAGGUGUAGGGGUGAAAUGCGUAGAUAUCUGGAGGAACAUCAGUGGCGAAGGCGACUAUCUGGCACAUAACUGACGCUGAGGAGCGAAAGCGUGGGUAGCAAACAGGAUUAGAUACCCUUGUAGUC
RNAcentral lists this ribosomal RNA (465 nucleotides) under uncultured bacterium. RNAcentral describes it as "partial 16S ribosomal RNA". It matches the Rfam family "Bacterial small subunit ribosomal RNA", at positions 338 to 795 of the family's 1533-position model. The record is from RNAcentral.